GCACUCCAGCAAACCAUGUCCUUCAGACUCUGUGUCGGUCAUGGGCAAAGAUUGUGCCAUAGUGACUCAAAGUGUAUCCAGACGGACCUCCCUCUCUAUUGGAACCUGUCUCUACAACUUUGACACAGUC
Small nucleolar RNA from Esox lucius (northern pike), 130 nucleotides. Ensembl annotates it as small nucleolar RNA SNORA55. NCBI's taxonomy places the organism in Eukaryota, Metazoa, Chordata, Actinopteri, Esociformes, Esocidae. The record is from Ensembl.